GAUGAACGCUGGCGGCGUGCUUAACACAUGCAAGUCGAACGCUGAAGCUCCCAGCUUGCUGGGGGUGGGUGAGUGGCGAACGGGUGAGUACCACGUGAGGAACCUGCCCUGAACUUUGGGAUAAGCCCGGGAAACUGGGUCUAAUACCGAAUAGGACUGACCAUCGCAUGGUGGUUGGUGGAAAGCUUUUUGCGGUUUGGGAUGGUCUCGCGGCCUAUCAGCUUGUUGGUGGGGUAAUGGCCUACCAAGGCUCUGACGGGUAGCCGGCCUGAGAGGGUGACCGGCCACACUGGGACUGAGACACGGCCCAG
This 311-nucleotide ribosomal RNA is filed under the name uncultured bacterium. RNAcentral's name for it is "bacterial SSU rRNA". It matches the Rfam family "Bacterial small subunit ribosomal RNA", at positions 28 to 334 of the family's 1533-position model. The record is from RNAcentral.